RNAcentral lists this ribosomal RNA (253 nucleotides) under uncultured bacterium. RNAcentral describes it as "partial 16S ribosomal RNA". It matches the Rfam family "Bacterial small subunit ribosomal RNA", at positions 524 to 776 of the family's 1533-position model. The record is from RNAcentral.
UACGUAGGGUGCGAGCGUUAAUCGGAAUUACUGGGCGUAAAGCGUGCGCAGGCGGCUUCGCAAGUCAGGCGUGAAAUCCCCGGGCUUAACCUGGGAAUGGCGUCUGAAACUACGGAGCUGGAGUGUGGCAGAGGGAGGUAGAAUUCCACGUGUAGCGGUGAAAUGCGUAGAUAUGUGGAGGAAUACCGAUGGCGAAGGCAGCCUCCUGGGCCAACACUGACGCUCAUGCACGAAAGCGUGGGGAGCAAGCAGG